This 264-nucleotide unclassified non-coding RNA is filed under the name Hevea brasiliensis (rubber tree). Lineage: Eukaryota; Viridiplantae; Streptophyta; Magnoliopsida; Malpighiales; Euphorbiaceae. The record is from RNAcentral.
GUACUAAGAAGGGAAGCUACACUAAGUUGAUGUUAUUUGUCAUUAUAUUUGGUGCAAAAUGCUUGAACAGCAUUGUAAUGAGAUGACAAAUGAAAGAUCCUUUGAUUGUUCAACACAUCUUAGGUUCAUGUAAAUCCUAAGAUCAUACAAAUUGCAAGUUGUGACAUUAUUUUCUAUAGUACAAUAGUUGACUUGUUCAACACAUCUUAGGUUUACCGCGAUAAAUUGUAUCAGAACAUCAAGCAUUUACUUUUUUGGUGUAAA